AGCUCCUGAAACUGAUAAUACACCAAACCCAGAACCCACAGUCCCUAGAGCUCCUUUUCUAAAUCAACUAAGGUCCAAUAAAAAAAUUAAAAUAUUUGGAUAAAAUUUUAGAGGUGUUUAAGCAAGUCCAAAUAAAUAUCCCUCUUUUAGACAUGAUUAAAUAAGUUCCAACCUAUGCUAAAUUUUUAAAAGAUCUUUGUACCAAAAAAAGAAUUACCAAUGUACC
This 226-nucleotide long non-coding RNA is filed under the name Elaeis guineensis (African oil palm). RNAcentral describes it as "long non-coding RNA (EGUI_LNC013854)". Lineage: Eukaryota; Viridiplantae; Streptophyta; Magnoliopsida; Arecales; Arecaceae. The record is from RNAcentral.